Molecule: long non-coding RNA, 342 nt
Filed under: Ananas comosus (pineapple)
Lineage: Eukaryota; Viridiplantae; Streptophyta; Magnoliopsida; Poales; Bromeliaceae
Description: long non-coding RNA (ACOM_LNC033486)
Source: RNAcentral
UGCAAAUAUAUUGGUUUGGCUUCAUGUGGUAAACAAGCUACCAAAAGCUGUAGAUAUUGAUUCGAUUAUUUCUGUAGAAGUUCUGAAUAAAAAUAUUGAUCCGGUUGGAUAUGUGGCAAUCACAAAGUUUAAGAUCCAUGGCCUAUGCGGUGUAGUAUCGUCCCUGGUAUUUAGUUGCCAGUGAGAUUUUAGCAUUUGAGGCUUAUCGACACAUCUGGAAAGUGUCGGGACAAGUCGGAGUCGUUUUGGCGUGAAUAGAAUGCAGAACGGACUCGACGCGAGGCAAGAGUGGAGUUCUGACGCUGAAAUCCUCAAAGUGCAGGAUUUCAGUGUUGAGUAUCG